UACUACUUAUCAUCAUCAUCAUCAUCAUUUUUACAAACGAGUAAACCAAGAGCAAAGAGGGACUAUAUAAUGUAUCCCAAGUUUCAUGAGAAUUGAGGCCACAGGACAAAGAACUGCACCCACAAUGGAAGACACAGAAAAUCAAAGACAAAGAAAAAAUAUUGAAAGAAGUCAAAGAAUAAAACACCUUACCCAUAGAGAAGCAAGAAUAAAAAUUACACCAGACUUCUUCAGAAACCAUGCACACAAGAAGACGUUGAAGUGAAAUACUUAGCAUGUUAAAAAACAAAAAACCCAACCAUCAACCUAGAUCCAACCUGUAUCCAGCAAAAGUUGCCUUCAAAAGUGAAGACAUAAGACUUCCUUAAGCAAACAAAAAUUGAGGACACUUGUUACCAGUAAAAUUGCUUUCCAACAUGUGUAAAAUAGAAAUUCUAUAGAAAGGAAGAAAAUGAGAUGACAGAAACUCAGAUCUACAUAAAGAAAGAAAUAGUAUUG
This is a long non-coding RNA of Suricata suricatta (meerkat), 498 nucleotides long. RefSeq lists it as uncharacterized. NCBI's taxonomy places the organism in Eukaryota, Metazoa, Chordata, Mammalia, Carnivora, Herpestidae. The transcript has 3 exons. The record is from RefSeq and is a predicted model, not a curated record.